RNAcentral lists this ribosomal RNA (253 nucleotides) under uncultured bacterium. RNAcentral's name for it is "partial 16S ribosomal RNA". It matches the Rfam family "Bacterial small subunit ribosomal RNA", at positions 524 to 776 of the family's 1533-position model. The record is from RNAcentral.
GACGUAGGGCGCGAGCGUUGUCCGGAUUUAUUGGGCGUAAAGAGCUCGUAGGCGGCUUGUCGCGUCGACUGUGAAAUCCCGCGGCUCAACUGCGGGUCUGCAGUCGAUACGGGCAGGCUAGAGUUCGGUAGGGGAGACUGGAAUUCCUGGUGUAGCGGUGAAAUGCGCAGAUAUCAGGAGGAACACCGGUGGCGAAGGCGGGUCUCUGGGCCGAUACUGACGCUGAGGUGCGAAAGCGUGGGGAGCAAACAGG